This 509-nucleotide ribosomal RNA is filed under the name Cardites floridanus (broad-ribbed carditid). Its description in RNAcentral is "partial 16S ribosomal RNA". It matches the Rfam family "Bacterial large subunit ribosomal RNA", at positions 1812 to 2600 of the family's 2925-position model. Lineage: Eukaryota; Metazoa; Mollusca; Bivalvia; Carditida; Carditidae. The record is from RNAcentral.
AACAUUUCUGGUUGAAAGAGUUUUUAAUAUGAUCAGUACAGCCUGCCCUAUGCAAUCAUGUAAAUGGCCGCGGAAUCCGUAACUGUGCGAAGGUAGCAUAAUUCCCGCGUCUAUUAAUUGUAGACUUUGCGAAUGGUUUAACGUUACUUUGGUUGUGUCAAACUUUGUUGAUUAUAAAUUUUUUUUAAAGUUAAGAAACUUUAAUGUGCUUAAAAGACGAGAAGACCCCGUGAAACUUUAUUUUAGGUAGGGACUUUUUCCUUAUUGAGAUUUAGUUGGGGUAACGUUUUCUUAGACAAAAAAGAAAAAGGUGGUUAAACAUAUAUACUAAUUGUUUUGAUCCAAAGCUUUUUUGAUUGUGGAUGAAGUUACUCCGGGGAUAACAGGAUUAUUUUUUUUGGUUAGGCCUUAUUUCAAAAAAAGUUUGUUACCUCGAUGUUGGCUUAAGGGGAGCUUCUCCGGUGUAGCCGUUGGAGUGAGUGGGACUGUUCGUCCUUUAAAUGCUUACA